Molecule: ribosomal RNA, 460 nt
Filed under: uncultured bacterium
Lineage: Bacteria
Description: partial 16S ribosomal RNA
Rfam family: Bacterial small subunit ribosomal RNA
Source: RNAcentral
CCUACGGGUGGCAGCAGUGAGGAAUAUUGGUCAAUGGGCGGGAGCCUGAACCAGCCAAGUAGCGUGAAGGAUGACUGCCCUACGGGUUGUAAACUUCUUUUAUAUGGGGAUAAAGUCAUGCACUUGUAGCGUUUUGUAUGUACCGUAUGAAUAAGGAUCGGCUAACUCCGUGCCAGCAGCCGCGGUAAUACGGAGGAGCCGAGCGUUAUCCGGAUUUAUUGGGGUUAAAGGGAGCUGAGGCGGGCGGUUAAGUCAGUUGUUAAAGUUUGCGGGUCAACCGUAAACUUGCAGUUGAUACUGGCUGUCUUGAGUUCAGCAGAGGUAGGCGGAAUUCGUGGUGUAGCGGUGAAAGGCUUAGAUAUCACGAAGAACUCCGAUUGCGAAGGCAGCCUACCGGGGUGCGACUGACGCUGAGGCUCGAAGGUGUGGGUAUCAAACAGGAUUAGAUACCCUAGUAGUC